CUAGGUGUAAGGUCACUUACAGAUGGAGAAAGUCUCUCUCUCUUGAAAAUGUCAGACAGGAAGAGGGUUGUGAUUUGGUGGCCGGCUCUAUGAGACAUACUUGUGUACAGCUGGCCACUGGAAAGAGGGUAGGCGGCAGUUACAAACGCUCCUCUUAACUCACUGACAGCCUCUGGCACUACUCUGAGUGAGAGAGGGCAAGCGAGAGAGAGACAUUUCGGAGCAUAGAGGGGGAACUUGUUCAGUGGUGGACUUUUAUCAUGCUGAACUGACCAGCCAGCGUCUUCCCUCUGGAAUACUCUACCAAACAACUGCUAGGACGAGACUCGCAACACAGGGAUCAUUUCACUGCAAGACGCCAAAAUGCUCAGCUUUGAGCGGCCCCCUCCAUUAGCAGUGAUGCAUCCUGGGAGAGAACCUCCCUCUGUGGCCAUCCUGCCUCUAAGAAACUCCCACCAACAGCAGCUGCAUCACAGGAGGAGAACCAAGAGGAUGGAGAGGGGCAAAGCAGGACUGCGCUCCAAGAAACUGGCCAUCCUGUCUCGGUCGCUCAUCAUCUGCAGCUCCAGCACCAAUGAGGACGCGUCCAGUCCAGAAGAGAGGUACCGUGAGCCCUGGGACAGUGGGCUGGAGGAGACACACCGCAGGGACCCGCUGGAAGGGUCCAUGGGAAAUUCAGAAAAAUACAUGACGAGGAGCGUCAGCAUCCAGCCGCCUCAGAGGGGCCAGGAGGACCCCAAAAGAACUAUGAGGAGGUCCUUCUCCAUCAAGGAAAGCAGUUUCUGGAGAAUGUGUGUCGCCUCGCGGGAGGAGGGUCUGCAAGCGGGUGAUAACAAACUUCAGUCCAGCAACAAUGGUGCGUCUGUUGGACAAGACUUACACAGGGACACUUACAUCUACUUUGGAGACAGACUUGCCCCAUUUAACGGACAGAUUAUAAAUGAUCAAACAAAACCGGAGGCUGAUCCAGAGAAAAGGCCCGUGCUGAAGACUGAAGUAAGACUUUAUCAGCUGUUUGUCCAUUACAAACAUCAAAACA
RNAcentral lists this long non-coding RNA (1039 nucleotides) under Sinocyclocheilus grahami. RNAcentral describes it as "lncRNA (ENSSGRG00000003146.1)". The record is from RNAcentral. Lineage: Eukaryota; Metazoa; Chordata; Actinopteri; Cypriniformes; Cyprinidae.